GGUGGGGUAGGUGGAGAAUGGCUGGAGGGUGGGCCCAGCCGAGCCCCUCCUGAAGCAACAGCAGCUUGGCUGUGGCCCCCAGGCUGGGCCGGAUGGUGUCAGGUUUCUAGUCUUGACCGAGCCCACCCCUGAGCUGCGGAGCAUUCCUGCCUAGGAGUCUGGAGUUGGGGGUGGGGAGCCAGAGCUCAUCGCCUUGGGUACUCCACCUGUAGUCCCCUCUGAGGAACGCAGGGAAUCCAACUGCGGCUUCAUCCAGGAGCCUGAGGAGAGAUGGUGGCAGGCAGGGCUGAACACCAGACUCCUAGUUAGGCCUUCCCUGGGUGAGGUCGAGCUCGCCCGCCCUUUAGAGGGUGUCUGCACCCUACAGUGGCCACUUAGAAGCAACCCGGACCGGCGGGCUCCUGUCGACCUGGCUUUUGAGGCUUUUGUGAAAGCGUUCCGCAUCCAGGAGCCAGCAGUGCCAGCACCUCUGACAUAGGAGCUGCCCAGGUUGUACAGGACGAAGGGCUAUCUUCGUAUGGAUGCUUGGAGGGGCGAAGCCUGAAAGCCCCUUGACUGUUACCUUGCCAGAGUGCCUUGUACGACAGCUGCAGGGUUCUCUUGCUCUCUGUGCUUGCUUUGGGUUUUUAUUUCUUGAGCUGUGUGAAGCAGCCGUGGGAUCUCACGGAGGAGCCGCACCUGAAUCAGCCUGCAGAGGCAUCAUCUGCUAGUCCGUAAGCCUGCAGGGAGCAGGUGUUGCAGGCAGAUCUCAGCCUGACCCUGCCGUGUGAAUCACCCCAAUAAAGGGGUCCAGAUGGGACCUGUGCAGACUAA
Molecule: long non-coding RNA, 813 nt
Organism: Mastomys coucha (southern multimammate mouse)
Lineage: Eukaryota; Metazoa; Chordata; Mammalia; Rodentia; Muridae
Exons: 2
Source: RefSeq, a predicted model, not a curated record